GGUAGUGUGGCCGAGCAGUUUAAGGCACUGGAUUAAGGCUCUAGUCCCUUCCGGGGCAUGGGUUCGAAUCCCACAGCUGCCA
Molecule: transfer RNA, 82 nt
Filed under: Bos taurus (domestic cattle)
Lineage: Eukaryota; Metazoa; Chordata; Mammalia; Artiodactyla; Bovidae
Also listed under: 5 other names
Rfam family: tRNA
About the family: Transfer RNA (tRNA) molecules are approximately 80 nucleotides in length.
Source: Rfam by way of RNAcentral